GCGCCUAUAGCUCAGUGGAUCAGAGCACCGGCCUCCGGAGCCGGGUGCGCAGGUUCGAAUCCUGCUAGGCGCGCCA
Molecule: transfer RNA, 76 nt
Filed under: Thermaerobacter sp.
Lineage: Bacteria; Bacillati; Bacillota; Clostridia; Eubacteriales; Clostridiales Family XVII. Incertae Sedis
Description: tRNA-Arg
Rfam family: tRNA
About the family: Transfer RNA (tRNA) molecules are approximately 80 nucleotides in length.
Source: RNAcentral